This 497-nucleotide ribosomal RNA is filed under the name uncultured bacterium. RNAcentral describes it as "partial 16S ribosomal RNA". It matches the Rfam family "Bacterial small subunit ribosomal RNA", at positions 28 to 507 of the family's 1533-position model. The record is from RNAcentral.
GAUGAACGCUGGCGGCGUGCCUAAUACAUGCAAGUCGAGCGAACGGACGAGAAGCUUGCUUCUCUGAUGUUAGCGGCGGACGGGUGAGUAACACGUGGAUAACCUACCUAUAAGACUGGGAUAACUUCGGGAAACCGGAGCUAAUACCGGAUUAUAUUUUGAACCGCAUGGUUCAAAAGUGAAAGACGGUCUUGCUGUCACUUAUAGAUGGAUCCGCGCUGCAUUAGCUAGUUGGUAAGGUAACGGCUUACCAAGGCAACGAUGCAUAGCCGACCUGAGAGGGUGAUCGGCCACACUGGAACUGAGACACGGUCCAGACUCCUACGGGAGGCAGCAGUAGGGAAUCUUCCGCAAUGGGCGAAAGCCUGACGGAGCAACGCCGCGUGAGUGAUGAAGGUCUUCGGAUCGUAAAACUCUGUUAGUAGGGAAGAACAUAUGUGUAAGUAACUGUGCACAUCUUGACGGUACCUAAUCAGAAAGCCACGGCUAACUACGUG